This is a non-coding RNA of Irineochytrium annulatum, 88 nucleotides long. NCBI's taxonomy places the organism in Eukaryota, Fungi, Chytridiomycota, Chytridiomycetes, Chytridiales, Chytridiaceae. The record is from the annotation of a GenBank genome assembly.
GCCCGGCUAGCUCAAUCGGUAGAGCGCGAGACUCUUAUCCUUGCGGGCAGAUAUCUCGAGGUUGAGGGUUCGACCCCCUCGUUGGGCG